Molecule: long non-coding RNA, 133 nt
Organism: Perognathus longimembris pacificus (Pacific pocket mouse)
Lineage: Eukaryota; Metazoa; Chordata; Mammalia; Rodentia; Heteromyidae
Exons: 3
Source: RefSeq, a predicted model, not a curated record
UAGGAGACCCAGAUAAUUGUAUACCAGCUAACCCACUUAAUACACCACCUCAUAUUAAACCAGAAUGAUAUUUCCUAUUUGCCUAUGCUAUUUUACACUCCAUUCCAAAUAUACUAGGAUGAGUCCUUGCCUU